UGAGGAAUUUUCGUCAAUGGCCGCAAGGCUGAACGAGCAACGCCGCGUGCAGGACGACGGCCUUCGGGUUGUAAACUGCUUUUCUCUGGGAAGAGAACGGACGGUACCAGAGGAAGAAGCCCCGGCUAACUACGUGCCAGCAGCCGCGGUAAUACGUAGGGGGCGAGCGUUGUCCGGAGUUACUGGGCGUAAAGGGCGUGCAGGCGGUUUUCUAAGUUCGGAGUGACAGUUCCCGGCUCAACUGGGGAAGGCCUACCGAAAACUGGAGAACUUGAGGGUCAGAGAGGGACAUAGAAUUCCGGGUGGAGUGGUGAAAUGCGUAGAUAUCCGGAGGAAUACCAAAGGCGAAGGCAGUGUCCUGGCUGACAUCUGACGCUGAGGCGCGAAAGCUAGGGGAGCGAACAGGAUUAGAUACCCCCGUAGUCC
RNAcentral lists this ribosomal RNA (426 nucleotides) under uncultured bacterium. RNAcentral describes it as "bacterial SSU rRNA". It matches the Rfam family "Bacterial small subunit ribosomal RNA", at positions 355 to 796 of the family's 1533-position model. The record is from RNAcentral.